This is a long non-coding RNA of Syngnathoides biaculeatus (alligator pipefish), 1041 nucleotides long. RefSeq lists it as uncharacterized. NCBI's taxonomy places the organism in Eukaryota, Metazoa, Chordata, Actinopteri, Syngnathiformes, Syngnathidae. The transcript has 3 exons. The record is from RefSeq and is a predicted model, not a curated record.
UGGUGUCAGGAGAGGAUAACUCAUGGGUCAAAGUUAGCAUGGAGUUAUUUCCCUUUCCUUCCUGACCCAACAUGGCUCCCUCAAGUACAUAUGAAGCGUUUUCCAAGAGAAGAAAGGGAGAAAGUAAAUGAGGAACAAAAAAAACCUCCAGGAGGACACACAGUGGAGGGUCUGAUGAGAGCAUCUGACUCAGUUCUGAGGACUGGGUUCAAAUCCUGGCAUCCCCCUGUGUGGAGUUUGCAUGUUCUCCCCAUGCCUGCGUGGGUUUUAUCCAGCGAUUGGCUGGCCCCCAGUUUAGGGUGUACCCCGUCUCCAGUCCAAAAACAGUGGUGGUGGGCUCCAGCACUCCGGUGACACUUGUGAGGAUAAGCGGCUCUGAAAAUGGAUGGAUGGAUGAAAACAUCCAGGAGCAGAUUGCAUUCUGCCUUUUUGUUCCUUUGAUGUUAACUUUGUGGAUGAGUUUGUUGAGGAAAAGGUUAUUCAUUCUCAUCUUCAUCUUUUGGCCAUUCUGCCUUUUAUCUCCUUGCUUUUCUCAUCAAAAGAGGGAAAAAAAGCCUUCAUCCCUCUUCUUCUCCGACAUCCAUUUUGUGUGCCUCCUCUCCCCACUCGCAGACAUUCUUAACACCUGCUCCUCUUCUUCCGCCUCCUCCUCUUCUUCAUCGUCCCUCUCACGGAAACAUUCCUCUGAGAGAGUGUGCGUGAGAGCUAAAUGAUUUUCUAUUAGCGCCUGCGCCUGUUAACAGUGCUCCAUUUGAUCACGCUAAUCAAAUUGAAAACCUUCAUCUCGCCAACCCUGAAAGCGCUACUUCUUUUUAUGUGUGUGUGUGUGUGUGUGUGUGUGUGUGUAUGCAAGCGUAGAAAUCGAUAUUCUGCUGUUAGGUGGUCGUUGUAAACAAGUGUCCAAUCUGAAGCUCACUGAUUUCUUCGCAGUGCAGAUAAUGGAAAUAGAAAUGUGUCGCAUCCCUGUAUCAUUUUCAAAUAUUUUUGUUUCAUUGCUUUUUUUGUUUUUAUUUUUUUUCUUGGGGGGGUGGUAAUACGAUA